UACGUAGGGCGCAAGCGUUGUCCGGAAUUAUUGGGCGUAAAGAGCUCGUAGGCGGCCUGUUACGUCUGCUGUGAAAUCCCGGGGCUUAACCCCGGGCGCGCAGUGGAUACGGGCAGGCUGGAGGCAGGCAGGGGAGAACGGGAAUUCCCGGUGUAGCGGUGAAAUGCGCAGAUAUCGGGAGGAACACCGGUGGCGAAGGCGGUUCUCUGGGCCUGUACUGACGCUGAGGAGCGAAAGCGUGGGGAGCGAACAGG
RNAcentral lists this ribosomal RNA (254 nucleotides) under uncultured bacterium. Its description in RNAcentral is "partial 16S ribosomal RNA". It matches the Rfam family "Bacterial small subunit ribosomal RNA", at positions 524 to 776 of the family's 1533-position model. The record is from RNAcentral.